AUCAUUAUUGACAACCGAGAGUAACGAAAAAGCAUCUUAAACCGUCCCUGCCUUCAACAAAGAUAAGACGUCGUACGCGCUGCUCGAAAUUAGUAUUCUAUAGUGAAUAUUGAAAAUGAAAUUUUUGAUCGUGCUAUUAACAAUCGCGAUGAUGACGUUGACCAUCGUGUUCUCGUCAUCACUGGACAAAAAGCAAACCGAGUCGACUGUCGCUAAAGAAUCAGUAACAGUGGAACCGUUCAAUAUUAUAACAAUGCCGCAAUUUCGAUGUCCUUCUGGUCAACAACGUGAUUCAAAAGGAAGGUGUCGAUUAGCAUUAGGAAAUAGUCAGGAAUAAUCGUGAAGAGAAGAUGAUUCAACGAAUAUGUUACUUUAACAAGUGAUGUCAUUUGGAAGUUACAACAACGAUGAGGAAGAAAUGACCAUUGUUAUCUAUCUAUUCAACAGUAAAGAAAGAGGUUUCUCUAUCAAUGGAUUCACAAUAAAUUGACAAUUAUUAUUAAAUGCUCGAGGAUAUCAACAUUUCAGCAAUGAUUUCAGUUAAAGCUAGAGCGAGGUGUAGUUACAAAAUAUCGUAGUAGCGACAGAAUUGUGAAAAUAUUUUAUAUAUUAAUAAAAAAUUCCAAUAAACGUA
Linepithema humile (Argentine ant) is the source of this 634-nucleotide non-coding RNA. Lineage: Eukaryota; Metazoa; Arthropoda; Insecta; Hymenoptera; Formicidae. The record is from RefSeq and is a predicted model, not a curated record.